UACGUAGGGGGCGAGCGUUAUCCGGAUUUACUGGGCGUAAAGAGUGCGUAGGCGGCUUUUCAAGUCAGAUGUGAAAUCUCCCGGCUUAACUGGGAGAGGCCAUUUGAUACUGUUGAGCUGGAGUGCAGCAGAGGGAGGUGGAAUUCCCGGUGUAGUGGUGAAAUGCGUAGAUAUCGGGAGGAACACCAGUGGCGAAGGCGGCCUCCUGGGCUGUUACUGACGCUGAGGCACGAAGGCGUGGGGAGCAAACAGGAUUAGAUACCCUGGUA
This 269-nucleotide ribosomal RNA is filed under the name uncultured prokaryote. Its description in RNAcentral is "partial 16S ribosomal RNA". It matches the Rfam family "Bacterial small subunit ribosomal RNA", at positions 524 to 792 of the family's 1533-position model. The record is from RNAcentral.